GGGUUUGCUGGGGGUGGCUGCUGGGUCACUCAGAGCUGACUCAGGGCCACCUCCUCACAG
RNAcentral lists this microRNA precursor (60 nucleotides) under Chlorocebus sabaeus (green monkey). RNAcentral's name for it is "miRNA (ENSCSAG00000023009.1)". Lineage: Eukaryota; Metazoa; Chordata; Mammalia; Primates; Cercopithecidae. The record is from RNAcentral.